UGGAGUCUGCAACCCGACUCCAUGAAGCUGGAUUCGCUAGUAAUCGCGCAUCAGCCACAGCGCGGUGAAUACGUUCCCGGGCCUUGUACACACCGCCCGUCAAGCCAUGGAAGCCGGGAGUGCCUGAAGUGCGUGAGCGCAAGCAGCGCCCUAAGGUAAAACCGGUGACUGGGGCUAAGUCGUAACAAGGUAAC
RNAcentral lists this ribosomal RNA (194 nucleotides) under uncultured bacterium. RNAcentral's name for it is "partial 16S ribosomal RNA". It matches the Rfam family "Bacterial small subunit ribosomal RNA", at positions 1299 to 1500 of the family's 1533-position model. The record is from RNAcentral.